GAUGAAGAACGUAGCGAAAUGCGAUAAGUAGUGUGAAUUGCAGAAUUCAGUGAAUCAUCGAAUCUUUGAACGCACAUUGCGCCCCCUGGUAUUCCGGGGGGCAUGCAUGUCCGAGCGUCAUUACAACCCUCAAGCUCAGCUUGGUGUUGGGCCCCGCCGCCCCGGCGGGCCCUAAAGUCAGUGGCGGUGCCGUCCGGCUCCGAGCGUAGUAAUUCUUCUCGCUCUGGAGGUCCGGUCGUGUGCUCGCCAGCAACCCCCAAUUUUUUUCAGGUUGACCUCGGAUCAGGUAGGGAUACCCGCUGAACUUAAGCAUAUCAAUAAGCGGAGGA
This 329-nucleotide unclassified non-coding RNA is filed under the name soil metagenome. RNAcentral describes it as "partial contains 5.8S ribosomal RNA, internal transcribed spacer 2, and large subunit ribosomal RNA". The stretch from base 1 to 120 matches the Rfam family "5.8S ribosomal RNA", at positions 35 to 154 of the family's 154-position model. The record is from RNAcentral.